This 465-nucleotide ribosomal RNA is filed under the name Vreelandella stevensii. RNAcentral's name for it is "partial 16S ribosomal RNA". It matches the Rfam family "Bacterial small subunit ribosomal RNA", at positions 338 to 795 of the family's 1533-position model. Lineage: Bacteria; Pseudomonadati; Pseudomonadota; Gammaproteobacteria; Oceanospirillales; Halomonadaceae. The record is from RNAcentral.
CCUACGGGAGGCUGCAGUGGGGAAUAUUGGACAAUGGGGGCAACCCUGAUCCAGCCAUGCCGCGUGUGUGAAGAAGGCCCUCGGGUUGUAAAGCACUUUCAGUGAGGAAGAACGCCUGGUGGUUAAUACCCAUCAGGAAAGACAUCACUCACAGAAGAAGCACCGGCUAACUCCGUGCCAGCAGCCGCGGUAAUACGGAGGGUACGAGCGUUAAUCGGAAUUACUGGGCGUAAAGCGCGCGUAGGUGGCUUGAUAAGCCGGUUGUGAAAGCCCCGGGCUCAACCUGGGAACGGCAUCCGGAACUGUCAAGCUAGAGUGCAGGAGAGGAAGGUAGAAUUCCCGGUGUAGCGGUGAAAUGCGUAGAGAUCGGGAGGAAUACCAGUGGCGAAGGCGGCCUUCUGGACUGACACUGACACUGAGGUGCGAAAGCGUGGGUAGCAAACAGGAUUAGAUACCCCAGUAGUC